Molecule: ribosomal RNA, 784 nt
Filed under: uncultured bacterium
Lineage: Bacteria
Description: bacterial SSU rRNA
Rfam family: Bacterial small subunit ribosomal RNA
Source: RNAcentral
AGAGUUUGAUCCUGGCUCAGAUUGAACGCUGGCGGCAUGCCUAACACAUGCAAGUCGAACGAGGUGUAGCAAUACAUCUAGUGGCGGACGGGUGAGGAAUACAUAGGAAUCUGCCUCAGAGCGGGGGAUAGCCCAGGGAAACUUGGAGUAAUACCGCAUGAUGUCGAGAGACCAAAGCAGGGGACCGCAAGGCCUUGCACUCUGAGAGGAGCCUAUGUCUGAUUAGCUAGUUGGCGGGGUAACGGCCCACCAAGGCAACGAUCAGUAGCUGGUCUGAGAGGACGAUCAGCCACACCGGAACUGAGACACGGUCCGGACUCCUACGGGAGGCAGCAGUGGGGAAUAUUGGACAAUGGGCGAAAGCCUGAUCCAGCAAUGCCGCGUGUGUGAAGAAGGCCUUCGGGUUGUAAAGCACUUUAGGCUGGAAAGAAAAAAUUCAAGCUAACAUCUUGAGUCUUGACGGUACCAGCAGAAUAAGCACCGGCUAACUCUGUGCCAGCAGCCGCGGUAAUACAGAGGGUGCAAGCGUUAAUCGGAUUUACUGGGCGUAAAGCGUGUGUAGGUGGCUACUCAAGUCGGUUGUGAAAUCCCCGGGCUCAACCUGGGAAUUGCUUCCGAGACUGAGUGACUAGAGUACGGUAGAGGGCGGUGGAAUUUCCGGUGUAGCGGUGAAAUGCGUAGAUAUCGGAAGGAACACCAAUGGCGAAGGCAGCCGCCUGGGCCUGUACUGACACUGAGACACGAAAGCGUGGGGAUCAAACAGGAUUAGAUACCCUGGUAGUCC